This is a long non-coding RNA of Anopheles stephensi (Asian malaria mosquito), 860 nucleotides long. RefSeq lists it as uncharacterized. The transcript has 2 exons. The record is from RefSeq and is a predicted model, not a curated record. Lineage: Eukaryota; Metazoa; Arthropoda; Insecta; Diptera; Culicidae.
GCCUUCUCGAGUCUUUUACCUAAAUGUUUAAUACCCAUUUUUUGUCUUUUCGCUCAAUAUAGACACCGACAUAGAAAAGGAGGGGGAGACUGGAUGGCAAGUCGGGUUUCCCAGCGUCGCGCCCCAGUGUGUGUUCAGAGAAAGUAGGGGACAAUUUCCAUUAGUUCUUAUAUAAAGGCUUUACGUUUUUUUACUUAUAUUUUUUCGUUCUUUUUUUACAGCAUCCAACAUCGAUGGUCAACCGUCUUCAUCUUCCGUACAUUUGACUAGCAACUCGCGAAAACGGAAAGCAGUACAGUUGUGCAGUGUAGCUACGAAUACGGAGACGGUUGACCCAUACGACCAAGAAAAUGUGGUCCGCACACUCACUGGGCUAACUCGGUCUCAUGCCCGUUUGGCGACACAAGUGGGCGAAUUGAUUAAUGCCAUGAAACCAAGGCCCGACGUUCGACCCAGCAUGGAGUUUGAUUUUGCUCCGAUAGAUUCGGUAGAAGAGCUGCAAAAUUUAGAUACACUUCUUCAAGACGACUCGGAGUAUAGAGCAAAACUUGUCCAUUGGCUUGAAACACAGAUCUCUCGUGUGGACGUGGAUAACCGUCUUCACGAAUUAAUUGAUCUAUUGUUCACCAAAACCUUUUUUGCCACCAUGAAUUGGACUGGCAUAAGCAAAAAAGCGGGACAAACAAAAAUAGCAUUAGGUAAAUUUAAGUUAGUGGUAAGAUUAUUUGUAGAAUUAGGAGGUAACAAUGCUUUAGUUUUAAAUAGUAAUUAUGUAGAAAAUUAAAAAAAAAAACUAUAUCAUGCUAAGGAUAGGAUUAAGAUUAGCAAUAGUAAACGUACGUCUUGCCACCAAAAAAAAA